This 728-nucleotide ribosomal RNA is filed under the name Ignavibacteria bacterium. RNAcentral describes it as "partial 23S ribosomal RNA". It matches the Rfam family "Bacterial large subunit ribosomal RNA", at positions 2197 to 2925 of the family's 2925-position model. The record is from RNAcentral. Lineage: Bacteria; Pseudomonadati; Ignavibacteriota; Ignavibacteria.
AUACCACCCUUACUACAGUUGAAUUCUAACCCGGUGGAGUGGAUCCACGGAGACAGUGUCAGGCGGGUAGUUUGACUGGGGCGGUCGCCUCCUAAAUUGUAACGGAGGCUUACAAAGGUCAUCUCAACACGGUCGGUAAUCGUGUGUAGAGUGUAAAGGCAGAAGAUGGCUUUACUGUGAGACAAACAAGUCGAGCAGUUGCGAAAGCAGGUCUUAGUGAUCCGGCGGCUCCGCGUGGAAGGGCCGUCGCUCAAAGGAUAAAAGGUACGCUGGGGAUAACAGGCUGAUCUUGCCCAAGAGUUCACAUCGACGGCAAGGUUUGGCACCUCGAUGUCGGCUCAUCGCAUCCUGGGGCUGGAGAAGGUCCCAAGGGUUUGGCUGUUCGCCAAUUAAAGCGGUACGCGAGCUGGGUUCAGAACGUCGUGAGACAGUUCGGUCCCUAUCCAGUGUGGGCGUAAGAUACUUGAGGGAACCCGCAUCUAGUACGAGAGGACCGAUGUGCGCGGACCUACGGUGCAUCUGUUGUCAUACCAAUGGCAUAGCAGAGUAGCCAUGUCCGCAAAGGAUAAGUGCUGAAAGCAUCUCAAGCACGAAACCUAUCCCAAGAUAAGGUAUCUCAUAGCAUAAGCUAGUAAGGACCCAGGUAGACGACCUGGUUGAUAGGCUUCAGGUGUAAGCACAGUAAUGUGUUCAGCCGAGAAGUACUAAUAGUCCGAGGACUUACCAUA